CGUGAGGAACAUGACCUUCGGCGGGGGAUAGCCGGCCCAACGGCCGGGUAAUACCGCGUACGACCAUUUGGGGACAUCCUCGAGUGGUGAAAGCAGCAAUGCGCCGAUGGAGUGCCUCGCGGCCUAUCAGCUAGUUGGUGAGGUAACGGCUCACCAAGGCGACGACGGGUAGCUGGUCUGAGAGGAUGGCCAGCCACAUUGGGACUGAGACACGGCCCAG
This 220-nucleotide ribosomal RNA is filed under the name uncultured bacterium. Its description in RNAcentral is "partial 16S ribosomal RNA". It matches the Rfam family "Bacterial small subunit ribosomal RNA", at positions 116 to 334 of the family's 1533-position model. The record is from RNAcentral.